RNAcentral lists this ribosomal RNA (497 nucleotides) under uncultured bacterium. RNAcentral's name for it is "partial 16S ribosomal RNA". It matches the Rfam family "Bacterial small subunit ribosomal RNA", at positions 28 to 507 of the family's 1533-position model. The record is from RNAcentral.
GAUGAACGCUGGCGGCGUGCCUAAUACAUGCAAGUCGAGCGAACGGACGAGAAGCUUGCUUCUCUGAUAUUAGCGGCGGACGGGUGAGUAACACGUGGAUAACCUACCUAUAAGACUGGGAUAACUUCGUGAAACCGGAGCUAAUACCGGAUAAUAUUUUGAACCGCAUGGUUCAAAAGUGAAAGACGGUCUUGCUGUCACUUAUAGAUGGAUCCGCGCUGCAUUAGCUAGUUGGUAAGGUAACGGCUUACCAAGGCAACGAUGCAUAGCCGACCUGAGAGGGUGAUCGGCCACACUGGAACUGAGACACGGUCCAGACUCCUACGGGAGGCAGCAGUAGGGAAUCUUCCGCAAUGGGCGAAAGCCUGACGGAGCAACGCCGCGUGAGUGAUGAAGGUCUUCGGAUCGUAAAACUCUGUUAUUAGGGAAGAACAUAUGUGUAAGUAACUGUGCACAUCUUGACGGUACCUAAUCAGAAAGCCACGGCUAACUACGUG